GACGAACGCUGGCGGCGUGCUUAACACAUGCAAGUCGAACGGAAAGGCCCUGCUUGCAGGGUACUCGAGUGGCGAACGGGUGAGUAACACGUGGGUGAUCUGUGCUCCACUUUGGGAUAAGCCUGGGGAACUGGGUCGAAUAUAGGAGAGGGGCCAUCCUUAUUGUGGUGGGUGGAAAGUUUUUUGGGUGUGGGAUGAGAUCGCGGCCUAUCAGGUUGUUGGUGGGGUAAUGGCCUACCAAGGCGGCGACGGGUAGCCGGCCUGAGAGGGUGGACGGCCAAAUUGGGGCUGGGAUAAGGCCCAGAAUCCUACGGGAGGCAGCAGGGGGGGAUAUUGCAAAAAGGGCGGGAGCCUGAUGCAGCGAACCCGCGGGGGGGAUGACGGGCUUCGGGUUGUAAAAUCCUUUCGCUAGGGAAGGAGCUUUUUGUGACGGUACCUAGAUAAGAAGCACCGGCUAACUACGUG
This 465-nucleotide ribosomal RNA is filed under the name uncultured bacterium. Its description in RNAcentral is "partial 16S ribosomal RNA". It matches the Rfam family "Bacterial small subunit ribosomal RNA", at positions 28 to 507 of the family's 1533-position model. The record is from RNAcentral.